CAAUAGCGUAUAUUAAAGUUGUUGCGGUUAAAAAGCUCGUAGUUGGAUUUCUGCCGAGGACGACCGGUCCGCCCUCUGGGUGUGUAUCUGGUUUGGCCUGGGCAUCUUCUUGGAGAACGUAGCUGCACUUGACUGUGUGGUGCGGUGUCCAGGACUUUUACUUUGAGGAAAUUAGAGUGUUUCAAGCAGGCACACGCCUUGAAUACAUUAGCAUGGAAUAAUAAGAUAGGACCUCGGUUCUAUUUUGUUGGUCUGUAGGACCGGAGUAAUGAUUAAGAGGGACAGUCGGGGGCAUUCGUAUUUCAUUGUCAGAGGUGAAAUUCUUGGAUUUAUGAAAGACGAACUACUGCGAAAGCAUUUGCCAAGGAUGUUUUCAUUAA
RNAcentral lists this ribosomal RNA (380 nucleotides) under uncultured eukaryote. Its description in RNAcentral is "partial 18S ribosomal RNA". It matches the Rfam family "Eukaryotic small subunit ribosomal RNA", at positions 592 to 976 of the family's 1831-position model. The record is from RNAcentral.